GACGAACGCUGGCGGCGUGCCUAAUACAUGCAAGUAGAACGCACAGUUUAUACCGUAGCUUGCUACACCAUAGACUGUGAGUUGCGAACGGGUGAGUAACGCGUAGGUAACCUGCCUGGUAGCGGGGGAUAACUAUUGGAAACGAUAGCUAAUACCGCAUAAUAUUGAUUAUUGCAUGAUAAUUGAUUGAAAGAUGCUAUUGCAUCACUACCAGAUGGACCUGCGUUGUAUUAGCUAGUAGGUGAGGUAACGGCUCACCUAGGCGACGAUACAUAGCCGACCCUAGGAGGGGGACCGGCACACUUGGACUGAGACACGGCCCAGACUCCUACGGGAGGCAGCAGUAGGGAAUCUUCGGCAAUGGACGAAAGUCUGACCGAGCAACGCCGCGUGAGUGAAGAAGGUUUUCGGAUCGUAAAGCUCUGUUGUAAGAGAGGAACGGGUGUGAGAGUGGAAAGUUCACACUGUGACGGUAUCUUACCAGAAAGGGACGGCUAACUACGUG
RNAcentral lists this ribosomal RNA (505 nucleotides) under uncultured bacterium. RNAcentral's name for it is "partial 16S ribosomal RNA". It matches the Rfam family "Bacterial small subunit ribosomal RNA", at positions 28 to 507 of the family's 1533-position model. The record is from RNAcentral.